UGGCUCAGAGGGUAAAGCAUCUGCCUGCAAUGCGGGAGACCUGGGUUCGAUCCCCGG
Molecule: transfer RNA, 57 nt
Filed under: Bos taurus (domestic cattle)
Lineage: Eukaryota; Metazoa; Chordata; Mammalia; Artiodactyla; Bovidae
Also listed under: 5 other names
Rfam family: tRNA
About the family: Transfer RNA (tRNA) molecules are approximately 80 nucleotides in length.
Source: Rfam by way of RNAcentral